Molecule: ribosomal RNA, 444 nt
Filed under: uncultured Prevotella sp.
Lineage: Bacteria; Pseudomonadati; Bacteroidota; Bacteroidia; Bacteroidales; Prevotellaceae
Description: bacterial SSU rRNA
Rfam family: Bacterial small subunit ribosomal RNA
Source: RNAcentral
UGAGGGAAUAUUGGGUCAAUGGGCGGGAGCCUGAACCAGCCAAGUCGCGUGAGGGAGGAAGGUCCUACGGAUUGUAAACCUCUUUAGCCGGGGAGCAACGUGCGCCACGCGUGGCGCAGUGAGAGUACCCGGAGAAUAAGCAUCGGCUAACUCCGUGCCAGCAGCCGCGGUAAUACGGAGGAUGCGAGCGUUAUCCGGAUUUAUUGGGUUUAAAGGGAGCGUAGGCCGUCUGUUAAGCGUGUUGUGAAAUGUCGGGGCUCAACCUGGGCAUUGCAGCGCGAACUGGCAGACUUGAGUGCGCAGGAAGUAGGCGGAAUUCGUCGUGUAGCGGUGAAAUGCUUAGAUAUGACGAAGAACUCCGAUUGCGAAGGCAGCUCACUGGAGCGCAACUGACGCUGAAGCUCGAAAGUGCGGGUAUCGAACAGGAUUAGAUACCCUGGUAGU